CAAAAUGACUGCUGCCUCCCUUCUGCCCUCCACAUCUCCCACACUUAAGAAUUCUAGCCAUACAGAUCCCAAACAGCCAAUCAUCCAUGUGAGCAGGUUGAAGAAAAAUCCUUCACCCCCGCAAAGGCUUGGAUGGAGCUGCUCAAGGCACAUCAAUCAAUGCAGUCAGAGAGACAAGACUGGCAGCUUCUUGGCUGACCUUGAAAUGUUUCAGGGGUAGUUUUGGCAUCUUGUGUGCCCCAAGUCUACUCCAAAGUGAAAUUGCCCAACUGGUUGUUAACAGGCUAUUAGUAAUUGGUCUGUCUAGUUCUAAUGAUUGGUUGGUACCUGUGUGUACAUGUCCCGCGUUUACUUAGGUGGAACCUCUGGUGUUUUGGGAGUAGUGAUUAACCCUGCAGAGUGUAUGGUCUUGUUCUAAUCUUUGCAGGAGUAUUGAUGUUAAGUAGACGCAUUGUUUGCCAGGUCAAAUUUGUCUUUUUCUGUUGCAUUUCUUUUUAAAAGCCAAGUUUUUUUUUCUCCUAUAUCACAAAGAGAAUUUUAUUUUUCUGAUAGGAUUUUUUACAGACCUUUAGGAUUAAAAUUAGCUGCCUUUCACUUCUGGGCUUUACUCUCUUCUUGGGUUAAUUUUAGCUAAUCAGUGGCAAAAUAAGUUGCCUUAAAAUCACACUUCCUUCCACAGUCUUAGAAAAAUAAAUGAAAAAAAGAGACCCUACUUAAGUGGCCUUGUUAUUUCUCCUACUUGAUUUGCA
RNAcentral lists this long non-coding RNA (749 nucleotides) under Homo sapiens (human). RNAcentral's name for it is "HSALNT0005220". The record is from RNAcentral. Lineage: Eukaryota; Metazoa; Chordata; Mammalia; Primates; Hominidae.